This 484-nucleotide ribosomal RNA is filed under the name uncultured bacterium. Its description in RNAcentral is "partial 16S ribosomal RNA". It matches the Rfam family "Bacterial small subunit ribosomal RNA", at positions 29 to 523 of the family's 1533-position model. The record is from RNAcentral.
AGUGAACGCUGGCGGCGUGCUUAACACAUGCAAGUCGAACGAGAACGGGUUAUAGCUUGCUAUAAUUGUCAGCUAAGUGGCGCACGGGUGAGUAAUGUAUAGGUAAUAUGCCUCUUACUAAGGGAUAACAAAUGGAAACGUUUGCUAAUACCUUAUACUCCUUAUUAACAGAAGUUAAUAAGGGAAAGAUUUAUUGGUAAGAGAUUAGCCUGUAUUGUAUCAGUUAGUUGGUGGGGUAAUGGCUUACCAAGACUAUGACACAUAACUGGUUUGAGAGGAUGAUCAGUCACACUGGAACUGAGACACGGUACAGACACCUACGGGAGGCAGCAGUGGGGAAUAUUGCACAAUGGACGAAAGUCUGAUGCAGCAACGCCGCGUGGAGGAUGACACAUUUCGGUGCGUAAACUCCUUUUAUAUGAGAAGAUAAUGACGGUAUUAUAUGAAUAAGCACCGGCUAACUCCGUGCCAGCCGCCGCAGUAA